Triticum aestivum (bread wheat) is the source of this 125-nucleotide non-coding RNA. The record is from Rfam. NCBI's taxonomy places the organism in Eukaryota, Viridiplantae, Streptophyta, Magnoliopsida, Poales, Poaceae.
AAGGUACUCCCUCCAUUUCGAAUUACUUGUCGCGGGUAUGGAUGUAUCUAGAUGUAAUUACAUCUAGAUUACAUCUAGAUACAUCCAUACCCGCGACAAGUAAUUCGGAACGGAGAUAGUACAAG